This 253-nucleotide ribosomal RNA is filed under the name uncultured bacterium. RNAcentral describes it as "partial 16S ribosomal RNA". It matches the Rfam family "Bacterial small subunit ribosomal RNA", at positions 524 to 776 of the family's 1533-position model. The record is from RNAcentral.
UACGGAGGGUGCAAGCGUUAUCCGGAUUCACUGGGUUUAAAGGGUGCGUAGGUGGGCAGGUAAGUCAGUGGUGAAAUCUCCGGGCUUAACUCGGAAACUGCCAUUGAUACUAUCUGUCUUGAAUACCGUGGAGGUCAGCGGAAUAUGUCAUGUAACGGUGAAAUGCUUAGAUAUGACAUAGAACACCAAUUGCGAAGGCAGCUGGCUACACGAAUAUUGACACUGAUGCACGAAAGCGUGGGGAUCAAACAGG